ACAUCUGGAGAGAAGUCUUGUUAAUUGAUAAAAAACAAGGCUCACCGAAGGGGAUGGGUAAAUUUGAAUGGAUCAAAUUUAAUCCGAAGCUCUCAGGUACAGUGACAGAUGGG
This 113-nucleotide non-coding RNA is filed under the name Candidatus Acinetobacter avistercoris. RNAcentral's name for it is "Glycine riboswitch". It matches the Rfam family "Glycine riboswitch aptamer", at positions 8 to 87 of the family's 94-position model. From Rfam's summary of the family: This family represents the bacterial glycine riboswitch. The record is from RNAcentral. Lineage: Bacteria; Pseudomonadati; Pseudomonadota; Gammaproteobacteria; Moraxellales; Moraxellaceae.